UACGUAGGGUGCAAGCGUUGUUCGGAAUUACUGGGCGUAAAGGGCGCGUAGGCGGCCUUCUAAGUCGAACGUGAAAUCCCCGGGCUCAACCCGGGAACUGCGUCCGAUACUGGGAGGCUUGAAUCCGGGAGAGGGAUGUGGAAUUCCAGGUGUAGCGGUGAAAUGCGUAGAUAUCUGGAGGAACACCGGUGGCGAAGGCGGCAUCCUGGACCGGUAUUGACGCUGAGGCGCGAAAGCCAGGGGAGCAAACGGG
Molecule: ribosomal RNA, 253 nt
Filed under: uncultured bacterium
Lineage: Bacteria
Description: partial 16S ribosomal RNA
Rfam family: Bacterial small subunit ribosomal RNA
Source: RNAcentral